Long non-coding RNA from Chenopodium quinoa (quinoa), 424 nucleotides. RefSeq lists it as uncharacterized. The record is from RefSeq and is a predicted model, not a curated record. Lineage: Eukaryota; Viridiplantae; Streptophyta; Magnoliopsida; Caryophyllales; Amaranthaceae. The transcript is spliced from 3 exons.
CACCGUUCACUAGUGUCAUUAACUCAUUAUAUACUUUCUUUUCUCCUUUCGUAAACUUUCUUGUCAAACUAAUGAAAAUGGCCUUCUAAGACCCAUUACCUUAUUGCUUCGUAUACUACUAAUUAGCCCAAGAAGAAUCGGACCUCGGAGCUCAGUGAGAACGAUAGAAUAAAGGCUAACAGGAAGGUUAUCAGACUGUAAAUCGAGGUACUGCUGGGGAUGAUGGAGACGAGUAGUAGCGAGGAUUUUACUUUCAGUUAUCACUUAAUAGUAGUUAUAGUUUUAAUUUGUUUAAUUUGAAUAGUAAGACUAAGCUACUUAGUAAAGUUUGAGAUAAGAUAGGAUUUUCUAUUAUAAAAAUUAAGAAUAAUGUUUUUUAUAAAUAGAUUACUAUGUUUUAUAAAUCAAGUUUGUUAAUUAAGUA